UACGUAGGGGGCAAGCGUUGUCCGGAAUUAUUGGGCGUAAAGAGUUCGUAGGCGGUUAUUUAAGUCUGGUGUUAAAGACGGGAGCUCAACUCCCGCAUGGCAUUGGAAACUGGAUAGCUAGAGUACGGUAGAGGUCUCGGGAAUUCCAGGUGUAGCGGUGAAAUGCGUAGAUAUCUGGAGGAACACCGGUGGCGAAAGCGCGAGACUGGGCCGUAACUGACGCUGAGGAACGAAAGCCAGGGUAGCCAAAGGG
This 253-nucleotide ribosomal RNA is filed under the name uncultured bacterium. Its description in RNAcentral is "partial 16S ribosomal RNA". It matches the Rfam family "Bacterial small subunit ribosomal RNA", at positions 524 to 776 of the family's 1533-position model. The record is from RNAcentral.